RNAcentral lists this transfer RNA (61 nucleotides) under Chitinophagaceae bacterium. RNAcentral's name for it is "tRNA-OTHER". Lineage: Bacteria; Pseudomonadati; Bacteroidota; Chitinophagia; Chitinophagales; Chitinophagaceae. The record is from RNAcentral.
AACACAGUUGGCAGUAUGUCCCGACUUGCGAGUCGGGAAGGCCGCAGGUUCGAGUCCUGCC